UUGGUGGAUGGCUCGGCUUGGAGGGCGAAGAAGGGCGUGGCAAGCUGCGAAAAGGCCGGAGUAGGCGCAUGCAGCCGUUGAUUCCGGCAUCCCCGAAUGGGAAUUCCUGUUAUCUAGGUCGUAAGACCUAGAUAACGAUCCGAAAGGAUCGCGAACCACCCGAACGGAAACAUCCUAGUAGGGUGAGGAAAAGAAAUCAAUUGAGAUUCCCUGAGUAGCGGCGAGCGAAAAGGGAAAAGCCCAAACUGAACUACAUUGGGCGACCAAUGUAGGAUGUAGUGGUUGCUGACAGCAUUAUGGUAACUUUUCCCAUUAGCCGAAGUGGUCUGGAAUGACCCGACAUAGAGGGUGAAAUCCCCGUAGGCGAAAAUGGGAAAAGUUAUCGCUGUCAGCCAGAGUACUUGGCCUUGACAAUGGCUAAGGAAUAUGGGGGAAAGUGGCCUCCAAGGCUAAAUACCUUCCAAGACCGAUAGCGCACUAGUACCGUGAGGGAAAGCUGAAAAGUACCCCGGGAGGGGGGUGAAAAGAGCCUGAAACCAAAAGGUUACAGACGAGUGCGGCCUGAAAGGAAUGUAAAAUACUAAACAACAUUAUCUGUUGGGGAUUCUCUCCAGCAUUUAAUGUUGUUUAGUAUCAAGCAUUCCAAGGUCGCACGCUCCGUCUAGAAACACGGGCCGGGGAGUUUACUGUCACGGCGAGCUUAAGGGUUAAAAGCCCGAAGGCGAAGGGAAACCGAAUCUCCGCAUGGAACUAUAACGUUCCAGAGGGAGAGGGUCUGAAAGGGCCUUUAGUCGUGGCAGUAAGACUAGAAACCGAGCGAUCGUGCCCUGGGCAGGACGAAGGCGGGCGAAAGCCCGCUGGAGGUCCGAAAGGGUGCUGACGUGCAAAUCGCUCCCCUGACCUGGGGCAAGGGGCCAAAAGCCCAUCUAGCUCGGUGAUCGCUAGUUCCUCCCGAAAUAGAUCCCAGUCUAGUCCUGGCAGAUAGGGAUAAAGCUGUAGAGUGAGGAUAAGCGAGCAAGGAUCCGAAAGGGUCCACUCGCUUUUCAAACUCCGAAGGCUUUAUCCUAGAAGAAGCCGGGAAGCGGGUUUAUGUGGGGUAAGCCCCAUAACCGAGAGGGGGACAACCCAGACUAGAGUUAAGGCCCCCAAAUGUCGGCUAAGUGUCAAACCGAAGGGUGUCACCGAGCUUAGACAGCAGGGAGGUAGGCUUAGAAGCAGCCAUCCUUUAAAGAGUGCGUAACAGCUCACCUGCCGAGCUCGGUGGCCCCGAAAAUGGACGGGGCUUAAGCCGACUGCCGAUACUCUAGGUCACGGUCCACAAGACCGUGGCGGUAGGGAGGCGUAGAGGUUGGGUAGAAGCUGAGCCGUAAGGUUCAGUGGACCGACCUCUAGUGCAGAUCCCGGUGGUAGUAGCAGCAUAGUCAGGUGAGAAUCCUGACCACCGAAAGGGCAAGGGUUUCCUGGCAACGCGUCGUCGACCAGGAGUAAGCCGGUCCUAAGUCCACGUUCAACUUGCGUGGACGAAAGGGAAACCGGUUAAUAUUCCGGUGCCUUGGAUAGCACGCGUUACCAGACGAAAGUCUGGUAACACACUAUUCUUAGUGCGUUCAAGAUAGCUGGAGUGGAGCCGUCGCUCCAUUUAACUCUACAAGGUAGGAGGAGUGUCGUAAUGACGAGAAUCCUACCGAGUGAGGAAUAGCCGACCAUUUUGGUUGGUUCCAGCAAUUCUUGGACGCCAUGAAAACUAAGAAUAGGAGUGCUAUCCAAGACCGUACCGAGAACCGACACAGGUGCCCUGGGUGAGAAGCCCAAGGUGUAUCGGGAAUACCGUAGGCGAGGGAACUCGGCAAAUUAGCCCCGUACCUUCGGUAUAAGGGGUGCCUGUGACCUUGGCAAAACCAGGGUUGCAGGUCGCAGUGACAAGGGGGUCCCGACUGUUUAAUAAAAACAUAGGAGACUGCAAGCCCGAAAGGGUGUGUACAGUCUCUGAAUCCUGGCCAGUGGCGGUACCUAAAACCCGGGUACAACCGGGCUAAGGGCCGCUAAACGCCGGGAGUAACUCUGACUCUCAGCAUAAAAGGGAGUCACUAAACUCGGCUAUAUGCGGAGAAGGGUGAAACGAAGCCCCCCGAGAAGGGAAAAGUGGCAAGUUGAUGACCCUAUCCGCAGGGAACCCUCCGUCAAACACAAGCAUUUAUACACCACCGUCUAAUAAUAUACUGAGGCUCCAAUGUUACACGAAUUUAGUGACAUAAUUGAUGCAAAAAGGCUUCCAAAACGAAUGAAGUACCUACAUUACUACAUUUUAGGCUUAGUGGAUGGAGAAGGCUGCUUUUCCAUUUCUGUUAAAAAACAAGAUGAUACAAAAUUCGGAUGGGUGGUUGAUCCAGUGUUUCAUGUUACUCAAGCAAAAGAAAACUUUCCCGUUCUGGAAAUGCUCAGACGUGUAUUCAGAUGCGGACGUAUAAUACCUAAGCCCGGACAAGAAAAUACGGUGCUACAAUAUAUCGUCGAUUCAAGAAAACAGUUAGCAGAAAAAAUAAUUCCAUUCUUUAGAAAACAUAAGCCGAUCGUCAAAUGGAACGAAUUCGAAGCCUUUGCUGAAAUAGUAGAAGCACUUGAAAAAGGUGAACACAGAAGCUUUGAGGGUCUAAAAAGGAUUAUAGAGAAGGCCUACCAACUUUCUAGGGAUAGAAAGUACACAUUAGAAGAAGUUUUAGCAGAAAUUGAUCGACGGAGGGGCGCCUCAGAGACCAUACGCCGAGCGCCUAAGAGCGAAAUGAAUAUGAGCUCGAGGGCGAAGAUAUGGUCCAACACCUAAAAGGUGUUGCUUAAGGUAGCCAAAUGCCUUGUCGGGUAAGUUCCGACGUGCAUGAAUGGAUCAACGAGGGCCCCACUGUCCCCGCCUACUACCCGGCGAACCCACAUAACGUGGACGAACAGUCCACGAACUCCCAUCGGGGAGAGAAGUCCCUGUGGAGCUUUACUGCAGCCUGUCGUUGUGCCGUGGUCGGGGUUGCAGAGCGUAGCUGGGAGCCUUAGAAGGUGUUCCUCCGGGAACACUGGAGGCGCCAAUGUAACACCAGCCAACUCCGGCUACAGCACUAACUACGGGCAACCGUAGGACACCGGCAGGUGGGCAGUUCGGCUGGGGCGGCACCCCCUUGAAAAGAUAUCGAGGGGGCCCAAAGGUUGGCUCAAGCGGGUCAGAACUCCGCUGAAGAGGGCAAGGCCAAAAGCCAGCCUGACUGGAUUCUUCACAGAGGAGAAUCCAGAGGCGAAAGCCGGGCCUAGCGAUCAUUCGUGUCCCCACCAUUGGGGGCCGGAUGUGACAGAAAAGUUACCCCAGGGAUAACAGGCUCGUCGCGGGCGAGAGUCCCCAUCGACCCCGCGGUUUGGUACCUCGAUGUCGGCUCUUCCCAUCCUGGUCCUGCAGCAGGGGCCAAGGGUGGGGCUGCUCGCCCAUUAAAGGGGAACGUGAGCUGGGUUUAGACCGUCGUGAGACAGGUCGGUCUCUACCUGAUGGGAGCGGAGGGUGUCUGAGAGGAAGUUGUCCCUAGUACGAGAGGAACGGGGCAACGCAGCCUCUGGUGUACCGGCUGUCCGACAGGGCAGGCCGGGCAGCUAAGCUGUUGGGGAUAAGAGCUGAAGGCAUCUAAGCUCGAAGCCCCUCUCGAGAAAAGACACCCUUCCAUAGUGUCC
Molecule: ribosomal RNA, 3702 nt
Filed under: Clostridia bacterium
Lineage: Bacteria; Bacillati; Bacillota; Clostridia
Description: 23S ribosomal RNA
Rfam family: Archaeal large subunit ribosomal RNA
Source: RNAcentral